GGCGGCGUAGACAAGUGGUUAAGUCACAGGAUUUUGAUUCCUGGGGUCGAAGGUUCGAAUCCUUCCGCCGCUGCCA
This 76-nucleotide transfer RNA is filed under the name Pseudomonadota bacterium. Its description in RNAcentral is "Proteobacteria bacterium tRNA-Gln". It matches the Rfam family "tRNA". Rfam says of the family: Transfer RNA (tRNA) molecules are approximately 80 nucleotides in length. Their secondary structure includes four short double-helical elements and three loops (D, anti-codon, and T loops). The record is from RNAcentral. Lineage: Bacteria; Pseudomonadati; Pseudomonadota.